CGACCACCGCGACGACGACGACGACGACGACGACGACAGCAACGGCUACGACGACGACGACGACGACACGAAGGCGGCUGGGUUACGAUAUAAAGAGAGGCCGAGGGAGGGUGAGAAAGUGCGGGUUAAAACCCUUUAGUCUGGACCGCAAGCGGGACCGGUGAACGGACCGCGUGCUUGUCGCAGUGCUCUGUUUCCCAACGUUUUAACGCGAAAGACGAGAAAUAAAUUCGCUGCUGUGCAACCAGAGCCAGAAGCGAGAGGACCGUCCGUGCACUCCCGAAGAUUCCCGCGACGCUACGUAAUUUGCAUUGCAAAACGCGAACCUUCCCGAUUAUCGACCUAGUUAAUUCACUGCGACGUAACGAAUAUUACAAGAAGUAGCGAAUUAGCGCGAUCACAUUUCUUAAUUCUUAUCUCGAAGAAAAAGGAAAUCUCGUAGAGGGAGGAAACUACGAGUUGCGUCAUAAAAUCGAAUUAGUAGACGUUCGAUGAGGCAACGUGCGUGUCGAUCGGUACUCGUGAAAUCUUCGCGAUGCGAAACGACGGUGAGAAAAACAGGGGAGAAAGACGCGAAAAGAAAACUGGCGGAGGCGGCGGAGAGAAGAGGAGAGGAGAGAAGAGGAGAGGAGAGGAGAGGAGCGAAAUCCUCCUCCGCGAGCGAAAGAGGCGUCCUCCCUCCACCGCCACCUCAGCCGGCAAUGACAGAUACAAAUAAACGAUCCGGCGAUUUCGCGCAAGCGCCCCCCGCGACUACGACGGCCACCCUCUCCACGACCUCGCGCCCGUUCGCGGCGGAGAGAUCGAGGUAGGUAGGAAUAGGUGGCUUCGCGGUGGCAGCCUGGGGCCCACACCACCACCUUGGGUGGAGCCUGCCGGUUGACGUCAUCAGACGUACAGACAAACGGCACAGACGUAGAAACCAAUGCGCGCCACGGUGGUGGCCCAGGUGGCUGCUUUACGUCUGCGUACAAAUAACACGGCCGCCGUCGUACGCCCCCGCCUGGAGAACCGCCCCUCUCCGUUUCUCUCUCUCUUUCGCGGGGGAGACACAGGUUCUCCGGUCCCGCCUGACUGCAGGCGACUGCCAUUGCUCGUUGCCUCGAGAGUCUAGAACUACGGGUAGUUCUUACGCUCCCUCUGUCCUUACGCCUCCCCUUCCUCCCGCCUCCUCGCGGAGAACUCGCGACCCUCCGCCAGAAAUCGUCGAAUCCCCCAAGAUGGCGACUCGCAAGUAGAGGUGGUGGCUUUUGUCGCGAGUUACCCCGAUCAUUGGACGAUAGCCUGGCAGCUGCAGACAAUUCCGGGUAGUUUGAAGAAACUUUCUCAUACAAGUUUUACCACACCGUAUUUUAUCAAUACUAAAUCAAGAUAGCAUAGUUUGAGAUUCUUUUCGCGGUACCAUCUGAAUUUCUCAGUCUAAGAGUCGUAAAGUUUGAAAGGAGCUAAGUUAAUUGAAGAAAACGAUGGACAAGUCGGGAGAGAGACAGAGAGACUGAUUAAAUCCUCUCCUCGAGAUUGCGGCCGGCAAAGAGCCCAGUUUUAACGCGGUAGCGAACGCAAAAGUGAAUUCUUAACUCGUUAUCCCCGACCUCUCUAACUCCGGUGGUUGCGAGAGCCUGGUAACGCCGAUAGUAGCGCGCGUACGGACGUACGGUAGAAUAAUGUGGUCGUUGGGAAGUUGUAUCGGGACCUAGUGUCACGACCGCAGCAGCAGCAGUAGCAGCACCAGUAGUAGUAGUAGUAGUAGCAGUAGCAGCAGCAGCAGCAGCAGCAGCAGUAGCAGCAGGGUGGACCUCUGCGGGAAAAGCGGGAGGAGGGUAGAGGGGAGGAAAGGGGGAUGGGUCGGUUACGACCGGCUUCACCUCGUCUUCGGUGCCAACGAGAGAAGAGGAGGCGCUAACGAUGCCAGUGGGAAAGAUGCGAGAUAACUACUCGGCAGACGAAGCGUUAUUCCGUCUCCGAGCGAUUGCGAGCGUAACUGAACAUACUGCACACGGAAAAAUAUUAUUCUAGUGACAAGGAAAACGAUUACUCAACUUUAAUUUUCUUCUAAAGGCUUACUUUACGGUCCUAGCAUCGCCGAUUAAUAGUGAGUACGAAAUUUUCCGAGUUUUAUAGUAGUUUUUAAAAACCGUGUUUUACUCGAAAUAAACUUUUCAAAAUUUUUUACAAAGAUUGCUAAAAAAUUACUUAAUGAUUUUUAGUGACUCAAAGCUUAUUUUACUUGUCUCAAUGUUAAUUAUUACAGGGAUUAGGGAUUUUAGAAUAUUUUUAAAAUUAUUUCAUCUAUAAAACUGCGUGAAAAAUGUUUAAAAACCAAUUAUUUUCAUAACUUUGUGAAAAAUAAAUAUAAAAAAUUGUUUCUAGUCCCUGUAAUAAUGGCAAGGUUGCUGAUUAAUAAAAUAUUUGAUUUGUCUGUUUCAGAUAAGUGGCAAGAUUGGAAUCUUGGUAAAAAUUUGCAGCAGCGCGCCGAGCAUGAACUGAUUCACGUCAGCUUUACUAUUUCAUUUUAUAUUUUCUAACGAAAUUUGUUGUGUUUUAAGAAUAAACAUUGACAAUGAUAUCCAAAAAGUUCUACCUUAUUUAAUUUCAUUUUUACUAUUAGAAAAACUUAUUAAUAUACCUUUAAUUUUUCGGUCAAUAAGCAAAAAUACCUCCCUAAUUUGGCUGUUUAAUUUUCACAAUUAACCGUUAUUAUUUUGAAUUAAAUGAGCCUCUAACAAUUCUAGGACAAUAUUUGUAAGACGAUACUUCAUUAUAGUUGUAUUAUAGCCGCUGGCGACAGCAUUGCCAAGGAGGGGAAAACCAGCGGUGUGCGAGUAACACAAAUCGUAAAAAAAAAAAACGUUGGUCGUUGCAACUCUAAUUAGAAGACUCUACCAUGCCUGCCGGACGAAUUAAGCCUAAUCGCUCGCGAGACAGGGAGAUAGGCAAAGCACGUUUUUCGCGAAGGAAGGACAGGGAGAGGGGUCGCAGAUAAAGACGCCAAAACGCGAAGGAGCGCGCGGACGGAGGGAGAACGGGGCGAGGGGUGAGGGAGAGGCACGACCCUUCGGGUUCGAAAAAAAGUUGGAGAGCACGAAAUUAGUCGUACUCGCGGCGAAGGAGAGCGUUAGACGUGCCUCGGGGUUUCGACCCCCGCCCGCUCUCGCGCGCAGUCCCGUUUUAUUCGAUAAUUAUGCAAAUGCCGGAAUGAUUGUCGGGCAAUAUGUCCUCGGAAUAAAAGUACCGGGCCGGAGCAAUUCGGUUAUCUUUAUGAUUUUCGGGUCGGUCGUCGUCGUAAGGGGCGGCGAAGGAGAGAGAAACACGGCGGAACACCAGGAACCCAAGGGUGGAAACGGAGGGGGAGGAGGAGAGGGAAGGGCUCGUCAAUCCUCGGCGACAAGAGUCAAGCCCUUCAUUUGCAUCGAAACAUGGCCCUCUGGCUUCGCUUCCUUACGCGCGAAUACGACGACGCAUUGUGAUCAACGUUGUUAUUUCAGCGGCAGUGAAAUAUGUACUUGAAUUAAUGACGCGUUCCCCGUACGCCGUUGCGUAUCUCUUCGAUCGACAUAUAGCAUUACAUAUAGAAAAGAAUAAAAAAGACAUGGAAGAUAUAUGUAUAAGAAACUUAGGAAGAUUCCACGUUACAAUUUCCAGAUCGGCCGGCUGCUUUCACGAAUGAAAAACGAAACGUAAAACUGGCGCACGGGCAAAUCAUAUCUGCGAAUUAUUUCACAUUCGGACUAAUUGAUCAAUCAAAGUGUUAAUUACUGUGCCUAAUUGGGUAUUCCCUACAAUUAACCGCGGGUUAGUUUUAGUUCCGACACGAUUCGCCUCGAUUCUACUGGUGCUGUACCAGCCGCUCAGCAUCGACAAUGAAAUGAAAACGUCUAAUUAACGCGCGGGGAAUGGGCAAUUAAGACAUCGACGUUAGCGAUCUCUCGUUGUAUGACUGAUUCAAUUAAGAGGCCUUCUGCGUCUGGUAUACCUCAGCGAAACGUGGCUCGUGUGUGGUGUGUAUUAUCGUUAUAUUUACUAUUAAAAUAUAUUCCUCGCGCCGAAAGGGUGGAGCCUGUCUCGACCAAUGGGCUCUCGUCGCGUGCCUCGGGUCGUUACGGAACCUGCAAAUUGAUAAGAAUACAUCGCCAUACCCUUCGGCCCUUCGUUAGCCCUCUCUCGCUUCUCCGUCCAACCGAAGAUGUCGGACGCGGAAUACAUUUUUAUUCGCACUUGAAGCGAUCGCCUUAUCGCGCCGUUCCUGUCGUCGUCUUUAAGGGCUGUGCAAUUUGUCUAUUCCCUAUAGAAAAGAUCUGACAUGCGUACUAAGCAGGGAACACGUGUACGCUUUUACGCGCUUCGACGAGCUGAAAAAUAAUGAGAGGAAUAAGAAAUUGAUUAAUCUGUUAACCAUGGGAAAUUCUCUUCUCAGGUGUAAAGAGUUUAGACGAGAACGGAACAACCUGUAAUUUUUGGGACUUGUAUUUUUUUUGAAAAACAGAUUUACACGCGGCGAGUGUAACGUGGGAAAAUAAAAUGUACAUUGAAUGAGAGGUAAAGGUUUCCUUCCUAAAAGACGUCAGAAGAGGGGGAGGUGAAUUGCGUGAUGAUCGAAUGAAAGAAAUCCUCCGGCUUACAAUAACAACUAUUUAUUUAUAGGUAAUAAUGCUGAAUUACAAUGAAUACACUUCUUGCCUCGAUACUAGAUUGUAUAAGUCCAGUCGCGAAAUCGGCGUCACUAGUCACCGUCGCCGUGACUCGCAAUGUGGCGACGACAAAGUUCCCCCCCUCUUACUCCUCAUUCCCAACUCCGCCCCGCAAACGUUUCGCACGUUUCUCUCUUUUUCGCAUAUCACCUUCAUCUUCGCCAACACGGUAUCGUUUUCCCCGAUCGUAGAACCGCACAUUCAAUUCAUUUUGUUGCACCGGAAAUCUCCCAAAUCGAUUUGAAACACAUUCGCUAUUUUCAGAUUUCAUCUACAGUAAAUUGUUUGUGCGUGAUCGUAUCGAGAACUAUCGAUGUUGCUUGCCUCGCGUGAAAAAGCGAUUCAACUGUCAAUAUCUGUCUUCGCGAUUUAAUUUGUACUAUUUGGCGUCGGCCAAAGUCAUCCCUCGGGAUCGUCGGCACUAUCGAUGUCAUCCGUACGGUUCUCGAUCGUGAAAAACGUUACCUGAACACUUUCGCGUCCAACCCUCUUCCAUCCUUUAUCCCUCCCUCCUUUCCGUCAAUCGGUAGCGGCGAUGGCAAAUACGGAUCAGCUAUCGGUGGUUAAAUUUUCGUUUCUCUACGUUUAGCAUCGUCUUAACGGGCUUUAGCUGGUACGAUACUAGACACUAUGAUUAUGUGAACUUUACAACACAAGAACCUUACGGCAAAAGACUUUGUACAUGGAUCUUAAAUACGGGGACCGGUCCCCGGGGAAAUAUCCCUGGCGCUUUCCUCGCACUGUACCAGACUCUGCAAAGGACGCGUGCGCGCGUCCUCGGAAGUGUCCCUUUUCCUCUUUUCUUUUCCUCGCCUACGUCCGCACCUUUCGCACGCGCCAAGAGAUAUUUCGCCGGAUGUUCUCGGCCGGUCAACGCAAACGCGGGACACACGCAAUAUGGAUUAGACUUACUUGCUUCGGUAGUAACUAAGUUAUUUAUAUAAAUAAGGUGUUACUAUUUAAGACGCUAGGAGAGAAUCCCCCGUUGUUUCCGUUUUUAUCAUACAUGCACCCUCUCACACGCACACACAUACAUAUACACACGCGCGCGCGCACAUACUCGCAAAAUUCUUUCUCACUUUCUCUUUUUCUCUCUUUCUCUCUUUCUCUCUGUCUCUCUUUCUCUCUCCUCCCUUUUUCUUUCUCUCGAGAUUUUUCUCUACGUCUAUCAUUCGCACUGUCUUUCAUUCAUACGCUCAUUUUCUCGCCUCGUCAUUCUUACUCUUACUUCCCCCCCCCCUCUCUCUCUCUCUCUCUCUCUCGUUUUUCUAUGAUACAGCGCUCGAGUCGCUCUAAUUCCGUUCCGCGUCGAAUCCAGAAGGGACUCGCUCGUCAAUUUCCGCGCUCCUAUGCGCAUCUUACAAAAAGCCGGUGCGCGUUUUUCGGCGCUGCGACGACGUGUCCGGAGAGACGGCGUUCUCGAAAAAAAAAAAA
Long non-coding RNA from Monomorium pharaonis (pharaoh ant), 6122 nucleotides. RefSeq lists it as uncharacterized. The transcript has 4 exons. The record is from RefSeq and is a predicted model, not a curated record. NCBI's taxonomy places the organism in Eukaryota, Metazoa, Arthropoda, Insecta, Hymenoptera, Formicidae.